RNAcentral lists this ribosomal RNA (460 nucleotides) under uncultured bacterium. RNAcentral's name for it is "partial 16S ribosomal RNA". It matches the Rfam family "Bacterial small subunit ribosomal RNA", at positions 338 to 795 of the family's 1533-position model. The record is from RNAcentral.
CCUACGGGUGGCAGCAGUGAGGAAUAUUGGUCAAUGGACGCAAGCCUGAACCAGCCAAGCCGCGUGCAGGAUGACGGCCCUAUGAGUUGUAAACUGCUUUUGUACGAGGGUAAACCCCGAUACGUGUACCGGGUUGCAUGUAUCCUACGAAUAAGGAUCGGCUAACUCCGUGCCAGCAGCCGCGGUAAUACGGAGGAUCCGAGCGUUAUCCGGAUUUAUUGGGUUUAAAGGGUGCGUAGGCGGUUUGAUAAGUUAGCGGUGAAAUGUCGGGGCUCAACCCCGAAACUGCCUCUAAUACUGUUGGACUAGAGAAUAGUUGCGGUAGGCGGAAUGUAUGGUGUAGCGGUGAAAUGCUUAGAGAUCAUACAGAACACCGAUUGCGAAGGCAGCGUACCAAACUAUAUCUGACGUUGAGGCACGAAAGCGUGGGUAUCAAACAGGAUUAGAUACCCCUGUAGUC